This 406-nucleotide ribosomal RNA is filed under the name uncultured bacterium. RNAcentral describes it as "partial 16S ribosomal RNA". It matches the Rfam family "Bacterial small subunit ribosomal RNA", at positions 30 to 526 of the family's 1533-position model. The record is from RNAcentral.
AUUGCACGCUGGCUGCACGCCUAACACAUGCAAGUCGAGCUAGCGGCGGACGGGUGAGUUAUGUCUGGGACACUGCGUGAUGGAGGGGGAUAACUACUGGAAACGGUAGCUCAUACCGCAUACUCUCAGGUGCGCCCAGAUGGGAUUAGCUAGUAGGGGGUGUAACGGCUCACCUAGGCGACGACCCCUAGCUGGUCGGAGAGGAUGACCGGCCACACUGGAACUGAGACACGGUCCAGACUCCGACGGGAGGCAGCAGUGGGGAAUAUUGCACAAUGGGCGCAAGCCUGAUGCAGCCAUGCCGCGUGUGUGAAGAAGGCCUUCGGGUUGUAAAGCACUUUCAGCGGGGAGGCGUUACCCGCAGAAGAAGCACCUGCUAACUCCGUGCCAGCAGCCGCGGUAAUAC